UACGUAGGUGGCAAGCGUUGUCCGGAUUUACUGGGCGUAAAGGGAGCGUAGGCGGAUUUUUAAGUGGGAUGUGAAAUACCCGGGCUCAACCUGGGUGCUGCAUUCCAAACUGGAGAUCUAGAGUACAGGAGGGGAAAGCGGAAUUCCUAGUGUAGCGGUGAAAUGCGUAGAGAUUAGGAAGAACACCAGUGGCGAAGGCGGCUUUCUGGACUGUAACUGACGCUGAGGCUCGAAAGCGUGGGGAGCGAACAGG
This 253-nucleotide ribosomal RNA is filed under the name uncultured bacterium. RNAcentral describes it as "partial 16S ribosomal RNA". It matches the Rfam family "Bacterial small subunit ribosomal RNA", at positions 524 to 776 of the family's 1533-position model. The record is from RNAcentral.